CACCACCUUACCCGGAACCGGCGAGCCCGCAGCGCGUUAUGACGGUCCCCACGCCUGAGCCGCUGCUGGUGUGGCGACGCGGUGACACCCAAGGAGCGACGUAAUUUCUGGGUGGGAGGGAGUGGGUGAGGCAGCUUUUAUCUCACUGUGUCACCCUGAGCUGGCCUCCGAUCCGACCCAGAGAGCCUUUGGCUCUAGAAUGGUGAGUUUAAGGUGUGCCUCACCACAUCCCGCUCUAAAUCUUUUUGUUGUUUUGGGUCUCACUGUGUAGCACUUGGCUGGCCUGGAAACUCCUCGAGUUCUGCUCGCCUAUUGCCUUUGGGAGAGCUGGGAUUCCAGGGUUUCUCUGUAUAGCUUUGGAGCCUGUCCUGGAACUCGCUCUGGAGACCUGACUGAUCUCAAACUCUCAGAGAUCCACCUGCCUCUGAGUGCUGGGAUUAAGGGCGUGCUCCUGUAGAUGUGCGAUCAUUUUGCUCUAAUUGGCUCACUGCAAUUGCAAUACAAUAAAACGGCAGGCAAGCAAGGAACACUUGGCUUGCCUCAAGUCCACUAAGUGGCCAAAGACGACAUUGGAUUCCCCAUUUUUUUCUCCACCUCCCUCCUGAGUAUUGGGACCACACACCUGUGUUGAUAUGCCUGGUUUAUUUAUAUUUUUUAAAAAGUGUUUGAAAAUACUUUAUUCUUGUUUUAUA
Non-coding RNA from Cricetulus griseus (Chinese hamster), 692 nucleotides. Lineage: Eukaryota; Metazoa; Chordata; Mammalia; Rodentia; Cricetidae. The record is from RefSeq and is a predicted model, not a curated record.